This is a long non-coding RNA of Arabidopsis lyrata subsp. lyrata, 512 nucleotides long. RefSeq lists it as uncharacterized. The record is from RefSeq and is a predicted model, not a curated record. The transcript is spliced from 2 exons. NCBI's taxonomy places the organism in Eukaryota, Viridiplantae, Streptophyta, Magnoliopsida, Brassicales, Brassicaceae.
UAAGACUUAAAAAAAACUUAGGCUUUUAUUUUUUUUCUUCUCGAAGACAAACUCUCGGAGAAAAAAACAGUGUUUGCCGCCGGCGAUUCCUCAGCCUUCUCUCGAGCGUUGUCGCCGGUGAGUCGUCAGCCGUCUUGCUUUCUCUUGAUAUCAGUUUGAAGCCUCCUACCCGCUCUUAAAUUCUGUCAUAUGCUUAAUCUAAGCAUGGAUUUGAUAAACGAUGGGAACGUCAAAGAGGCGCGCAUGAAGAUUGCUGUAGACCUUUGGGAGGAUGCUCAUGAUCCUAUCUUAAUUGAGCGAAUGAAGAACUAUAAACCUCCACAUCAAUCGUCGGAUAUCCUUGAAAUUGAUUGAGAUUAAUUAGCAUUAUGGUUUUUUUUAUCGUCCAAACAGAUUAUGUACUAGUCUUGCGACAUCUAGUUUGUAUGACCUUUGUUUUUUUCUUUUCUAAUUAUUUAGGCGUUUGUAUGACCUUUGAUCAAUAAUUGAUUCUCUCAAAAUUCUCUAUUUCA